UCUCAUGAUUUAAUCCUAAUCUAAUUAGGAUUGGCCAAAUUGGGUUCAAUCUAUGCUAGUCCUAAUCCAAUUAGGACUUGAAUGAACCAUGACUCAAUUGAACUCUUCAAUCCUAAUCCAAUUAGGAGUCAUGUUGAUUCAUUAGAUUAAUAAUUAAUUAGGACUUAAGGAAUCCUAAUCCAAUUAGGAUUUGUUUUAAU
RNAcentral lists this long non-coding RNA (200 nucleotides) under Phoenix dactylifera (date palm). RNAcentral describes it as "long non-coding RNA (PDAC_LNC010869)". Lineage: Eukaryota; Viridiplantae; Streptophyta; Magnoliopsida; Arecales; Arecaceae. The record is from RNAcentral.